AGUGGAUGGGGAGCAACCUAGUUGUGCGUGUGUAAAGGUAGUGCCAAGAAAAGCGAUGAUCAUGUUGAAAAUCAAUUCCCGGUACCCGAAACCGACACAGGUGGGCAAGUAGAGAAUACUAAGGGGCGCGAGGUAACUCUCUCCAAGGAACUCGGCAAAAUGACCCCGUAACUUAGGGAGAAGGGGUGCCACCGAGAGGUGGUCGCAGUGAAGAGGCCCAGGCGACUGUUUAGCAAAAACAUAGGUCUCUGCAAACUCGAAAGAGGAGGUAUAGGGGCUGACGCCUGCCCAGUGCCGGAAGGUUAAAGAAGUUGGUCAGUUUUAGGAUGAAGCUAGCGACUGAAGCCCCGGUGAACGGCGGCCGUAACUAUAACGGUCCUAAGGUAGCGAAAUUCCUUGUCGGGUAAGUUCCGACCCGCACGAAAGGCGUAACGAUCUGGGCGCUGUCUCGGAGAGAGGCUCGGCGAAAUAGGAUUGUCUGUGAAGAUACGGACUACCUGCAUUUGGACAGAAAGACCCUACGAAGCUUUACUAUAGCUUGGAAUUGUGUUCGGGCUUCCUGUGCGCAGGAUAGGUGGGAGGCGUAGAAGGUAUUCUUGUGGGGAUACUGGAGCCAACGGUGAGAUACCACUCUCAGGAGGCUAGAAUUCUAACUUAAUUAAGGACAGUUUCAGGUGGGUAGUUUGACUGGGGCGGUCGCCUCCAAAAAGGUAACGGAGGCGUACAAAGGUUCCCUCAGACUGGAUGGAAAUCAGUCGAAGAGUGCAAAGGCAGAAGGGAGCUUGACUGCGAGAAGUACAGUUCGAGCAGGGUGGAAACACGGUCUUAGUGAUCCGACGGUGCUGUGUGGAAGGGCCGUCGCUCAACGGAUAAAAGUUACUCUAGGAUAACAGGCUGAUCUCCCCCAAGAGUUCACAUCGACGGGGAGGUUUGGCACCUCGAUGUCGGCUCAUCGCAACCUGGGGCGGAAGUACGUCCCAAGGGUUGGGCUGUUCGCCCAUUAAAGCGGUACGUGAGCUGGGUUCAGAACGUCGUGAGACAGUUCGGUCCAUAUCCGAUGUAGGCGUGAGAAUAUUGAGAGGAGCCUUCCUUAGUACGAGAGGACCGGGAAGGACGCACCGCUGGUGUACCUGUUAUGAUGCCAAUUGUAAACGCAGGGUAGCCAAGUGCGGAGAGGAUAACCGCUGAAAGCAUCUAAGUGGGAAGCCCACCUCAAGAUGAGUAUUCUGGUGUAAGGUCACGGGAGGACGACCCGUAAAUAGGCACGAGGUGGAAGUGCAGAGAUGUAUGAAGCCGAAGUGUACUAAUAGACCGUCGGCUUGACCU
This 1326-nucleotide ribosomal RNA is filed under the name metagenome. RNAcentral describes it as "bacterial LSU rRNA". It matches the Rfam family "Bacterial large subunit ribosomal RNA", at positions 1561 to 2925 of the family's 2925-position model. The record is from RNAcentral.